Molecule: long non-coding RNA, 840 nt
Organism: Diospyros lotus (date-plum)
Lineage: Eukaryota; Viridiplantae; Streptophyta; Magnoliopsida; Ericales; Ebenaceae
Exons: 2
Source: RefSeq, a predicted model, not a curated record
UAGGGUACCAAAUCCCUAAUUUCUCCCAUUGUUAAAUCUCCCUCUCCCAUACUCCCAACUUUCUCCAGCCAUCAACGCCGCCGCCGCCUCCUCGCUCGUCACCUUCACCGCCUCAAUGCAGCCGCCGCCUCCAGCUCAUUGCAUCUACCUCCUCAACACCACCUUUAUCGCCUCCUCGAUCGCUGCCUCUACGUUUGUCGUCUCUAUCUCCCAUCGUCUAUUGGUUGUCUCCUCCAUUGCGGCCUCUAGCCCAUUGCAUCACCUCCUCAAUGUCGUCGUCGCCUCCUCAACGCUGCAACCGCCUCUUGCUCCAUCGCUGUUAACUAGUGAAUGCCUUCUUAUUAAGCUGCACAUGUAGACUCACAGAGUCGCUUCAGAGACGUGAUGGACUUGGUUGUAUCUCACUUUUUUUGUUUUUAAUCUUCAGAGAUUGUGAAUGCCUUCUUAUUAAUCACACUUUUUAUGUUUUUUUUUUUCCUGCUCAAUCAUUAAUAAUUUUUGUAUUAAUUAUUUUUUAUUUUAUUUCAGACAUGAUGAACUUGCUCGUAUCUUUUUUACAACAUAUUUUGAUAGUCCUUUCAAUUAUAUGCAACAAUGAUUGUAUUUUUAUUCGAGGUUAUAGAAAUUGAUUUUUGGUUCUUCUAAAGUUAGUUUCAAUUUGAGCAAAUGAUAUAUACUUUAACUUGGAUUUGAGAACAAAUUAACAUAGUUUCAGCUCAUGAUGUACAUGCCUACUAAUGUUGGCUCAUCAGCUCAUGAUUGUUUGCCAUUGUAUUCUUUGUGAAUGGAUCUUAUAAUAUGCAUCCUUUUUGAUUAGAUUUUUAGCAACAAAUUACUAUA